This 396-nucleotide ribosomal RNA is filed under the name Gigaspora rosea. RNAcentral's name for it is "LSU rRNA". It matches the Rfam family "Eukaryotic large subunit ribosomal RNA", at positions 358 to 668 of the family's 3401-position model. Lineage: Eukaryota; Fungi; Glomeromycota; Glomeromycetes; Diversisporales; Gigasporaceae. The record is from RNAcentral.
GGAAAGAUGAAAAGAACUUUGAAAAGAGAGUUAAAUAGUACGUGAAAUUGUUGAAAGGGAAACGAUUGAAGUCAGUCAUGUCAGUGGGAAUCAACUUAGGGAAAACUCUGAGUGCACUUCUUCGCUUGGCGGGUCAACGUCGAUUUUGGAUAUCAUAAAAUGAUUGGGGGAAGGUAGCUCCUUCGGGAGUGUUAUAGCCCUUGGUAGAUGUAAUGUCUGGGAUCGAGGAUUGCAAUGGAUACCCUUUGGGUUAGCCGUCUUAUCUCUAAUUGGUAUUGGGUUACAGAUAGCAUGCUGACUGUAAUCUAAUUAUUGGUUAAAAGGUUAGAACGUGCAUAAAUUUAUUAAGGACGUUGACGUAAUGGCUUUAAACGACCCGUCUUGAAACACGGACCA